AUUGAACGCUGGCGGCAGGCUUAACACAUGCAAGUCGAGCGGGGGAAGGUAGCUUGCUACCGGACCUAGCGGCGGACGGGUGAGUAAUGCUUAGGAAUCUGCCUAUUAGUGGGGGACAACAUCUCGAAAGGGAUGCUAAUACCGCAUACGUCCUACGAGAGAAAGCGGGGGAUCUUCGGACCUUGCGCUAAUAGAUGAGCCUAAGUCGGAUUAGCUAGUUGGUGGGGUAAAGGCCUACCAAGGCGACGAUCUGUAGCGGGUCUGAGAGGAUGAUCCGGCACACUGGGACUGAGACACGGCCCAGACUCCUACGGGAGGCAGCAGUGGGGAAUAUUGGACAAUGGGGGGAACCCUGAUCCAGCCAUGCCGCGUGUGUGAAGAAGGCCUUAUGGUUGUAAAGCACUUUAAGCGAGGAGGAGGCUAUUCUAGUUAAUACCUAGGGAUAGUGGACGUUACUCGCAGAAUAAGCACCGGCUAACUCUGUGCCAGCCGCCGCAGUAA
Molecule: ribosomal RNA, 501 nt
Filed under: uncultured bacterium
Lineage: Bacteria
Description: partial 16S ribosomal RNA
Rfam family: Bacterial small subunit ribosomal RNA
Source: RNAcentral